GACGAACGCUGGCGGCGUGCUUAACACAUGCAAGUCGAACGGAAAGGCCCUGCUUUUGUGGGGUGCUCGAGUGGCGAACGGGUGAGUAACACGUGAGUAACCUGCCCUUGACUUUGGGAUAACUUCAGGAAACUGGGGCUAAUACCGGAUAGGAGCUCCUGCUGCAUGGUGGGGGGUGGAAAGUUUCGGCGGUUGGGGAUGGACUCGCGGCUUAUCAGCUUGUUGGUGGGGUAGUGGCUUACCAAGGCUUUGACGGGUAGCCGGCCUGAGAGGGUGACCGGCCACAUUGGGACUGAGAUAGGGCCCAGACUCCUACGGGAGGCAGCAGUGGGGAAUAUUGCACAAUGGGCGGAAGUCUGAUGCAGCAACGCCGCGUGCGGGAUGACGGCCUUCGGGUUGGAAACCGCUUUCGCCUGUGACGAAGCGUGAGUGACGGUAAUGGGUAAAGAAGCACCGGCUAACUACGUG
This 468-nucleotide ribosomal RNA is filed under the name uncultured bacterium. Its description in RNAcentral is "partial 16S ribosomal RNA". It matches the Rfam family "Bacterial small subunit ribosomal RNA", at positions 28 to 507 of the family's 1533-position model. The record is from RNAcentral.